GAGUUUGAUCCUGGCUCAGGACGAACGCUGGCGGCGUGCUUAACACAUGCAAGUCGAGCGAAGGAAUACUUAGGAAGCCUUCGGGAAGAAUACGUAUUCCUUAGCGGCGGACGGGUGAGUAACGCGUGAGGAAUCUGCCUCGCACAAGGGGAUAGCCUCGGGAAACCGGGAUUAAUACCCUAUGAUACUUACACUGCGCAUGCAGAGUAAGUUAAAGAAUAUCGGUGUGAGAUGACCUCGCGUCCCAUUAGCUAGUUGGCAGGGUAAAAGCCUACCAAGGCGACGAUGGGUAGCCGGCCUGAGAGGGUGAACGGCCACAUUGGAACUGAGACACGGUCCAGACUCCUACGGGAGGCAGCAGUGGGGAAUAUUGCACAAUGGAGGGAACUCUGAUGCAGCAACGCCGCGUGAGCGAAGAAGGUUUUAGGAUCGUAAAGCUCUGUCCUAGGGGAAGAUAAUGACGGUACCCGAGGAGGAAGCCCCGGCUAGCUACGUGCCAGCAGCCGCGGUAAUAC
Molecule: ribosomal RNA, 515 nt
Filed under: uncultured bacterium
Lineage: Bacteria
Description: bacterial SSU rRNA
Rfam family: Bacterial small subunit ribosomal RNA
Source: RNAcentral